Molecule: ribosomal RNA, 233 nt
Filed under: Nitrososphaeria archaeon
Lineage: Archaea; Thermoproteati; Nitrososphaerota; Nitrososphaeria
Description: partial 16S ribosomal RNA
Rfam family: Archaeal small subunit ribosomal RNA
Source: RNAcentral
GUUGGAAUCGAGGGUUGCAACUCGCCCUCGUGAACGCGGAAUCCCUAGUAACCGCCCGUUACCACCGGGCGGUGAAUACGUCCCCGCUCCUUGCACACACUGCCCAUCGCUCCACCCGAGCUGAGAAUGGGCGAGAGCCACUCAAGUUGGGUGGCCCGAGCCUAGACUCGGUGAGGGGGGAGAAGUUGUAACAAGGUGGCCGCACGGGAACGUGUGGCCGGAUCACCUCCUAU